UGGUGAUGAUGGCGAAGAGGUCACACCCGUUCCCAUGCCGAACACGGAAGUUAAGUUCUUCAGCGCCGAUGGUAGUCGGGGGUUUCCCCCUGUGAGAGUAGGACAUCGCCAGGCA
RNAcentral lists this ribosomal RNA (115 nucleotides) under Bacillus velezensis. The record is from RNAcentral. Lineage: Bacteria; Bacillati; Bacillota; Bacilli; Caryophanales; Bacillaceae.